UACGUAGGGGGCGAGCGUUGUCCGGAUUUAUUGGGCGUAAAGAGCGUGUAGGCAGCCUUGCAAGUCCGUUGUGAAAACUCGAGGCUCAACCUCGAGACGCCGGUGGAAACUGCAAAGCUAGAGUCCGGAAGAGGAGAGUGGAAUUCCUGGUGUAGCGGUGAAAUGCGCAGAUAUCAGGAGGAACACCCGUGGCGAAAGCGGCUCUCUGGGACGGUACUGACGCUGAGACGCGAAAGCGUGGGGAGCAAACAGG
This 253-nucleotide ribosomal RNA is filed under the name uncultured bacterium. RNAcentral describes it as "partial 16S ribosomal RNA". It matches the Rfam family "Bacterial small subunit ribosomal RNA", at positions 524 to 776 of the family's 1533-position model. The record is from RNAcentral.